Molecule: long non-coding RNA, 3815 nt
Organism: Oncorhynchus gorbuscha (pink salmon)
Lineage: Eukaryota; Metazoa; Chordata; Actinopteri; Salmoniformes; Salmonidae
Exons: 3
Source: RefSeq, a predicted model, not a curated record
CCUCAGUUGUAUUCAGUCUUGUGUAGAAGGCUGUCAACUUACCCAUAGGCUAUAAGAAAGCAUGAGACCCUGAGGAGUCUUUUCAAAACGGAGGUGGGUUAGCUAUUUGUCUGUUGACGUUUGGUGAUUGGUAAAUUGACAUGAGCUGUCCUCCCCUCAGCAUCCUCCACUGGUUCAGAUGAAUCAUGGUGGAAGUCAGUGGAUGAGCUCCAGGCUAGGAAGCAGCAGGUCACGGAGUUUGAGGUUGUCCAGCAGGCCCUGAACAAGGUGACUGCCUGUUUCCAAAUGGCCACCUCUUUUGGAAGCAACUCUGACGGCAGAUUUCUGAGAUGGACAAGACCAGAGCACUGGCUUACAGAAUCUGCACAGGUUUGCAGACAGCUGGUACCUAUGACAGAGAGGGAGAAUCUGGACACGAAAAAUCAACAGGUGUGGGGGGGUUUAUCCUCACUGGAUUAUAGAAACACCAACAGGACCUGUCAAAGCCAGUGCUGCAAUAGACCUCUUCCCCUUGAAACAAAGGAAUUACCCCUGGCCCCUGGUGAAAACAGGGGCUUCAGACGGAAGGCAUUAUGAACUAAGCAGAGGAUAGAUGUUUAUGGUCAUUAUAUCCAUCUUAGUGAUAUGUCAUAAGCAUUCAAGUUAGUAAUUGAAAAAUAUAUCUAAAUUAAAUAAAGCCAAAUGUUGAGUGGAAAGUAACCAAUAGAGCCACAAUUAACAUACCUAGACAUCUUUAUUCACAUAGAGGUCAUACAAACAAAAAUAUUGUAGAGACAUACCCAGUAUUGAAAUGUACAUAAUUAGAAGCAUAGAAAAACACAGAAAUAAAACACAUGGCAGGAUUGUAGGAGCUUGAAUCAGUUCUUGUAGGUUGUGUUCAAAUGGGCUUUGAAGGCUAAAAAUGAAAAGAAAUCCUUUGUUUAAUACAGUGCAAGUUUGUUUAUCAUACAACUUGACUCAUGACACGAGUAUUAACAGGGUGGGUCCCAAAUUACAUAUAGGCCCUGGUCAGAAGUGCACCAUGUUGGGACACAGACGUGUCCAUAUACUAACCUUCCUGGUUAUCCCAAAGCUCAGCAGCAGCAGUGUUCAAUGGACUCUCAAUGUUGGGCUCUGAAGACAGAGUGUAGUACAAACUUAACAAAUUGGACAGUGUCACACAAACUCUCCAAACAAUAAAUAAAACAGGUGACAACUUGGACAGUGAUUUGAUCGCAGAGCACUGUUAAACCUAGUUGGUUGGGUGAGUUCCAGUCAACUUGAUGAACUGAGUGCCAUUUAUUAAUUUCUGUGGGAAGUGCCUUACCUCCUAAUAAACUCUGGAUGGACAGAAGAAUGGACCGUACGUCGUACAGGGCUGACCAUUUGUCUUUCAAGAUAUCCAGACAGAUGAAGCCCUGAUCAUCGACGUUAGGGUGAAAACAUGGGGUGAUGAACUUCACUCGGGGGGCUUUGUACGGGUAGCCACUGGGGAACUCCAACGACAGCUUGUACCUCAGGCCUUCGUAAACCUAAGAGAAUGAGCGAUGGAAGAUUUGUUAUACUGUCUUUGUGCAAAAGCAUUUCACAGCAAGCGUUUGAAUGUUCAAAGGAGUUAAACCAUAAACCUUGUUCAUAUGGUAUAGGAUUACUGUUCUUAAAAUCUGAGCAACUACUGAGGCUGUACUUUACAUGCUGGAGUAGAAAGUAAACACGACCUACUGUUCCCUGAGCUCCAUCUAUCGUUCCUAUCCACUUAAAAAGGUUGUCAGACUCCGGGAAAGCAGAGAUCCCUUUAUCUCCAGACAUCUACAUGAAGAAAUAAACAGAUCUAAAGGACAUAGCAAUUUUACAAAAUAUGUUUAUAUAUCCAAUUGUGAUUAUAAAAGAGAUGGUCCUACAUGGGGAACACUUACCAUUAGUGUCAUCAGUUCUUGUUGAAGUCUAGGGUGUAAAAAACAAAGAUUCAGAAAUGCCCAAACUUCGUACCCAGACUAGCCUAUGCACCAAUUGUGGCACCAAACAAAUGACACAAUACUGUUUGGCUCCUCCACUUACAUGUUAACGUUACUUUCCUACUAACGCUGGGAACUAAGAUGAGCUUAAUUCUAGAUUAACAAAACUAAAUGUCAAACCUCUUCGUGACUGAGCCCUUUGCUGCACUCCCACCGGUCUCAGUGUCUUUCAGAGCUGCUGUGGACGAGGCGGCUGCAGGGUCCAUAUUUUGAGAGGCCAUACUUCUACUGGAAGAACAAUCGAGAGGACGAUAAUUAGUUAACGUUGGAAACAAAACUACCUUGCUAGUAAACAAAUAUUAGCUACUUAAACACUCAAGUGCACGGCAUUUUGCGUCGCGCCUGCAAGCAACUAACCAGAGUGUUGUCAUGACGUUAGCCAUCUAACGUUACCUGGAUUUUUAAGGUGCCUAGUUAUCCAUUUCAGCUAGCAGGGCAUAGUUAUCGUCAGAAAUGUUUGCAUUGGCUAACGUAGCCCACAUAUAUCCUGGGCUAGGCAUAACACAAUUUACCACGGUUAACUAAUAACACAUGAGGAUGUUUGCUAAUAAUGUUAGCUAGCUCGUUAAACAGUGUUACAGCGCAAAUGCAAGCUACGUUAGCGAGCCAGCUAACGGUUAGCGGAGUGAGUGUUAUCUUGUUGCAGCAGAACAGUGCUAACAGGUUGAAUGACUUCUUUAGCCAGCUAACGUCAGCUAAAUGACCAACUUAAAACAACCAGCCCACCCGCCUCCAACAAAAAUAAGACUCAAAUGUUGCCAUAAUGUAACUUGCCUGAUGUGUCUGUUCUGUCUUCACCAACUCAGUUUUUCUGCUACUGAGAUUUUCAAACUGUGUAGAGAUCCCGCCCCCGUUUAAAUGUUUUUUUUUCUCAAAACCGUGUCACCGCUCUGUUUGCGAACAUGACCAAUCGCAACUUCGUGUUUAAACAAAGCAAAUCCGUAGCAACCAUUUGAAAGAAUGCACCUACUAAAUACUUCGAUGUGAUUGGGUGAAAGAUCAUUCGGAAGUGACAUAUUUGCCAAAUGGUUGGUCCGAAUUCAUUUGUACAGGUCUGUGCUAUUCGGAAUCCUUGGGACGACCCUAAUCUUAACCUGUCUACCCACUGGUAUAUCGUACUGGGGGGGCCAUGCGCCUGUCACCGAUGUCAAAUUGUUUUAAAAUUAAUAAUUCAUUUAAUUUAAUAGUUCAUGACAGUAACCCUCAAAAGUUAUUUUUUCAUAAACCUUUUUUAAAUUCCAUAUAUGUAUUAUUAAGCGAAGUGUUUGUUAUUGGGCUUCAUAGUAUGUCUAAGCCUACCAGCGUUUUUCCCCUGCUUUGCCUUUUCUCCUUUUUCUAGUCCUCCUGGUUUUGACCCUUGCCUGUUCUGGACUCUGUACCUGACCUUGCCUGUUCUGGACUCUGCAUGACCAUUCUGCCUGCCCGAGUGUCAUGAUAGCAGCUCGUAGGGGGUUUUGCCACAUGAACUUUAUCAUUAUUCCAUUUAGAUCUAGGAUCCAAAUUCACAGUGUGUUUGCCUUGAUGUUCAUGAAACUCCAUGGACCCCUCUUGCACAGUGGAACCCAGAAUGAUAUGCGACCACACUAUUCUGCCAGGGACAUCCAAACCUAAGUGGCCGCCGCAAAGCCCAAGGAGCCUGACUCUCUGGAAGUUGCUGUUGCCCUGCUUGGGAUAUUUAGCCUUUAUUGACUAUUGGUUGAGAGGCAGGGCCCGUUCUACAGUAGCUUAGUAUGUCAGGGUGGGGCAAGAUUUAUGUUAACUUUUUUCAAUGUUCAAUUGAUUUGAUAACAUGUUUUAUGCAAAUAAAUUAUAUGAAUUGAU